This 433-nucleotide ribosomal RNA is filed under the name uncultured bacterium. Its description in RNAcentral is "partial 16S ribosomal RNA". It matches the Rfam family "Bacterial small subunit ribosomal RNA", at positions 28 to 507 of the family's 1533-position model. The record is from RNAcentral.
GACGAACGCUGGCGGCGUGCCUAACACAUGCAAGUCGAACGAAACGUCCGGGUCUUUGGGCGCACGGGGGCGGAAGGCGUGGGAAGCUGCACGUGGGUUCGGAAUACCUCCCCGAAAGGGAUGCUCAUGCCGGAUAAGGUCUUAGGACCAAAGAUUUAUCGCCUUUGGAUGGGCCGGCGUUGGAUUCGCUGGUUGGGAGGGUAAUAGCCUACCAAGGCGUGGAUACAUAGCUGGUCAGAGAGGAUGAUCAGCCACACUGGGACGGAGACACGGCCCAGACUCCUACGGGAGGAAGGAGUGGGGAAUAUUGGAGAACGGGAGAAAGCCUGAGCCAGCAAGGCCGCGGGAGUGCUGAAGGCCGUAGGGAAGUAAAGCUCUUUUACCAGGGAGGAUAAUGACAGUACCGGGAGAAAAAGCCCCGGCUAACUCCGUG